GUUUUGGCACCUCCCAUGCCAAGAUCUUCAGCAAACUUAAGCAAGCCUGAGACCAGAAAGAAAAGGAUCUUUUAAAAGAGAACAAGACAGCAUGUUCUCAGGUGAGGAUAAAAAAGAGAAUCAGUACAGUCUGACAAUAAGGAUCCAUCCAGUACUAAUGGGCACCCCAGCACCCUGGUAGUGGCCUCCAAAUACCAUGUGCUGCUAAGAGAACUGGAGUUCCUUGAAGAAAUGUUUGUACAAGGACUUCCGCCAAGAUGGAGGCAUAGGUGGAAGCACUGUGCCUCCUUCCACAACCAAGUUUAAAAACAACAAAGUUUUAGCAACAAAAACCACAGAAAAUUGAACUUCACGGAAGUCUGACAACAACAAACCCUUCAGCCAAACCGUUCUGGCUUCUCCUUGGCAGCUACGAUACCAAGGAGUUGAUCUUGGAGACCUAAGGGAGUGAUCAUGAAGUUGAGGAGGCAGA
This is a long non-coding RNA of Artibeus jamaicensis (Jamaican fruit-eating bat), 472 nucleotides long. RefSeq lists it as uncharacterized. The transcript is spliced from 4 exons. NCBI's taxonomy places the organism in Eukaryota, Metazoa, Chordata, Mammalia, Chiroptera, Phyllostomidae. The record is from RefSeq and is a predicted model, not a curated record.